ACUGUUGAUGAGGGGAGUGGGACCUCAAACCAGCACGUUAUCGUGAUAGAGUCUGCAGAUGCCGAGGCUGCAGGUCCUGGGGUCAAGCAGGAGAGGUCUGAAGGAGAGGAGGACCCACGGCACAGCAGAGACAUCCCGGCUGGAGUGCCCCCUGUGGCCACAGAGGACCCCACCACCACCACCGCUGCGCAGUCCAGAACCCGAUACAGCAUCACGGAGGAUGAGGAGGAUCCAGAAGUGCUGCUGGUGAAGGUGGAGGGGUUAUGAGG
Salvelinus sp. IW2-2015 is the source of this 269-nucleotide non-coding RNA. The record is from RefSeq and is a predicted model, not a curated record. NCBI's taxonomy places the organism in Eukaryota, Metazoa, Chordata, Actinopteri, Salmoniformes, Salmonidae.